UUUCUAAUGUUAAUUGGUCCACCAUCAGAAGCAGGCAAAUAUUAACAAAGGCCAUUAACCAUUAGAUCUAAAUUGAGGAAUCCUUAUCACUGUUAGUUAAAAUCCGAUGCCCUUAUGCCCAUCUGACACCCAACAUUUAACAAGGUUCUAGUUCUUUUUUUAAAAAGAAAAAAAGAACUGUACUUUUUCGAUGCUAGCCUAUGUAUGC
Molecule: long non-coding RNA, 208 nt
Filed under: Elaeis guineensis (African oil palm)
Lineage: Eukaryota; Viridiplantae; Streptophyta; Magnoliopsida; Arecales; Arecaceae
Description: long non-coding RNA (EGUI_LNC029526)
Source: RNAcentral